GAUGAAGAACGCAGCGAAAUGCGAUAAGUAAUGUGAAUUGCAGAAUUCAGUGAAUCAUCGAAUCUUUGAACGCACCUUGCGCCCUUUGGCCAUUCCGAAGGGCAUGCCUGUUUGAGUAUCAUGAACACCUCAACUCUUUAUGGUUUUCCAUGAUGAGCUUGGACUCUGGGGGUUUUGCUGGCUCACAGUCGGCUCCUCUAAAAUGAAUCAGCUUACCAGUGUUUGGUGGGUAUCAUGGGUGUGAUAACUAUCUACGCUUGUGGUUUUUCCACCAGGUAACCUUCAGCAGUGGAGGUUCGCUGGAGCUCAUAGAUGUCUCUCCUCAGUGAGGACAGCGCUUUGAAUGUUUGAUCUCAAAUCAGGUAGGACUACCCGCUGAACUUAAGCAUAUCAAUAAGCGGAGGA
This 405-nucleotide unclassified non-coding RNA is filed under the name soil metagenome. RNAcentral's name for it is "partial contains 5.8S ribosomal RNA, internal transcribed spacer 2, and large subunit ribosomal RNA". The stretch from base 1 to 121 matches the Rfam family "5.8S ribosomal RNA", at positions 35 to 154 of the family's 154-position model. The record is from RNAcentral.